AGCUUCCUCCACAGCCCCUGCCAGCGAGUGCUCACAUUACAUCCUGCCCCUUGCGGCUGGAGCUGGGCUGCUGCUGCUGGUGGUGUUUCUGAGUCUCAUCUGGACCCUCUGCUCUUGCACGCUAGGAUUCCAGCCCAGGAUCUCAGCACCUCCAGCUUCAGAGGAGAACCAGGAUGGAAUCUUAUACGCUCAUCUGGAUUUCGAUUCGCGGAAUCGCAACGGGCGCACGAUGCAGCGACCGGCCAGAGGGAAACGUGCAAAACCCUGAAGUGUCUAGUGCAGGGGAAUCCGCAAGCAGGGACAGAUGACUGGUUCUGAGCUGAUUGGAAGUAGACAGAGCCUUCUUCCAGCUGGCUAUUUUCUUUUUUAUUUUCUCCUCUUCUCUGUUUAGAAAUAAAAAGUCAGAAGAUCCCCACAGAGUCCAGCCUCAUGAGGUGGGAAAUCUCCUUUUGGGAUAUAAAGGCAUCAGGGUGUAGAUGACUUUACACAUCACGUGUGUAUUAGAUUGGAAGCUCUUUGGGGCAGGGACUGUCUCUUUGUUCUGUGUUUGUGCAGCGCCUGGCACAACGAGGCCUGGUCCAUAACUGGGGCUCCUGGCUGCUAUGGUAAUACAAUCCUUGUCAUCAUCAUCAUCCUCCCCCCAUCUGCAGAGGGACUCGGACACAGCUGAACGGCUGCAGCUUCCCUGCUCAAAGAGUGAAGUCAGAUGGCAGGAGCCUGGAGGCGGGACGUGCAGCCCCUGUAUACACCACAGCUCGCAGCUCCCCUGAUCUUCAGCAGGCUCGUGCUCACGUUACAUGGACGUGCAAUGGGAUUGUGUAAGGGGAAGGACGGAUGCGGGAGGAGCUGGGAGGGAUGAGAAUCUCUUCCCAGCCCAGUGCUGGAGCUGUUACUACAGUGUCCCUUCUAGAGACUGCUGCUUUUCCCCACGAGCGAGAUCCACAGGUCCCCAUGUGCCAGCCCCCUGCACCAUCCAACAAUGACAACACCUUGUCAAUGACUAGAGCUCUCCUGGUCCCUGAGCCUGCACAUCACAACUUCUUGUUCUUCAAGCUGUCGUCACUCUGUCACUCAUUAAAAAGGGACGGCAACCCCACUAGUGAUGUCUGUGUUGCCUCUUUUACCUGUUCAGUGCAUCAAUCUCAGCAUAUUGUGUAAUAAGAAAGGUGUCCCAAAGGAUUUAAGAGACCCAGUUCUGCUCUGGUUUACAGCAGUGUAAAUCUGGAGGAGGUCUGUUGCAGUCAGUGGAGUUACUCUGGAUUUACACCUGUACCUUAGAGAGCAGAA
Long non-coding RNA from Mauremys mutica (yellowpond turtle), 1287 nucleotides. RefSeq lists it as uncharacterized. The transcript is spliced from 3 exons. The record is from RefSeq and is a predicted model, not a curated record. NCBI's taxonomy places the organism in Eukaryota, Metazoa, Chordata, Testudines, Geoemydidae.